Molecule: long non-coding RNA, 310 nt
Organism: Colossoma macropomum (tambaqui)
Lineage: Eukaryota; Metazoa; Chordata; Actinopteri; Characiformes; Serrasalmidae
Exons: 3
Source: RefSeq, a predicted model, not a curated record
CAACGUUCAGCUGAGCGGGAAAAGCGUUCAGAGCGGCUUCUGGAAACUUCGGAGGCUUCAAAGCGCGUUUGUCACCUGCGCGUCCUUUGUACACCAGCAGCAUCUUUCAGAUGCAGCUAUGAAGAAUCCACAGUAACAGUCACGCAGCAGGUGACAAAGAAAUCGACCAGAGACCUCCACGUCUGCUAAGAGCCGAGUACAUUUAACAUUAUUGGGUAGGGGUCAGAUGUGCAUAAGAUAAGACAAGAUAAGAAAAGAUAAUCCUUUAUUAAUCCCACAAUGGGGAAAUUUGCGGUGUUACAGCAGCACA